GACGAACGCUUGCGGCGUGCUUAACACAUGCAAGUCGAACGGAAAGGCCCUGCUUUUGUGGGGUGCUCGAGUGGCGAACGGGUGAGUAACACGUGAGUAACCUGCCCUUGACUUUGGGAUAACUUCAGGAAACUGGGGCUAAUACCGGAUAGGAGCUCCUGCUGCAUGGUGGGGGUUGGAAAGUUUCGGCGGUUGGGGAUGGACUCGCGGCUUAUCAGCUUGUUGGUGGGGUAGUGGCUUACCAAGGCUUUGACGGGUAGCCGGCCUGAGAGGGUGACCGGCCACAUUGGGACUGAGAUACGGCCCAGACUCCAACGGGAGGCAGCAGUGGGGAAUAUUGCACAAUGGGCGGAAGCCUGAUGCAGCAACGCCGCGUGCGGGAUGACGGCCUUCGGGUUGUAAACCGCUUUCGCCUGUGACGAAGCGUGAGUGACGGUAAUGGGUAAAGAAGCACCGGCUAACUACGUGCCAGCAGCCGCGGUGAUACGUAGGGUGCGAGCGUUGUCCGGAUUUAUUGGGCGUAAAGGGCUCGUAGGUGGUUGAUCGCGUCGGAAGUGUAAUCUUGGGGCUUAACCCUGAGCGUGCUUUCGAUACGGGUUGACUUGAGGAAGGUAGGGGAGAAUGGAAUUCCAGGUGGAGCGGUGGAAUGCGCAGAUAUCAGGAGGAACACCAGUGGCGAAGGCGGUUCUCUGGGCCUUUCCUGACGCUGAGGAGCGAAAGCGUGGGGAGCGAACAGGCUUAGAUACCCUGGUAGUCCACGCUGUAAACGGUGGGUACUAGGUGUGGGGUCCAUUCCACGGGUUCCGUGCCGUAGCUAACGCUUUAAGUACCCCGCCUGGGGAGUACGGCCGCAAGGCUAAAACUCAAAGGAAUUGACGGGGCCCCGCACAAGCGGCGGAGCAUGCGGAUUAAUUCGAUGCAACGCGUAGAACCUUACCUGGGUUUGACAUGGAUCGGGAGUGCUCAGAGAUGGGUGUGCCUCUUUUGGGGUCGGUUCACAGGUGGUGCAUGGCUGUCGUCAGCUCGUGUCGUGAGAUGUUGGGUUAAGUCCCGCAACGAGCGCAACCCUUGUUCACUGUUGCCAGCACGUUAUGGUGGGGACUCAGUGGAGACCGCCGGGGUCAACUCGGAGGAAGGUGGGGAUGACGUCAAGUCAUCAUGCCCCUUAUGUCCAGGGCUUCACGCAUGCUACAAUGGCUGGUACAGAGAGUGGCGAGCCUGUGAGGGUGAGCGAAUCUCGGAAAGCCGGUCUCAGUUCGGAUUGGGGUCUGCAACUCGACCUCAUGAAGUCGGAGUCGCUAGUAAUCGCAGAUCAGCAACGCUGCGGUGAAUACGUUCCCGGG
RNAcentral lists this ribosomal RNA (1343 nucleotides) under uncultured bacterium. RNAcentral describes it as "16S ribosomal RNA". It matches the Rfam family "Bacterial small subunit ribosomal RNA", at positions 28 to 1378 of the family's 1533-position model. The record is from RNAcentral.